GGUUCCUGGCUCAGUGGUAGAACACUUGCCUAGCACAUAUGAGGCCCUGAGUUAAAUCCUCAGCACCA
Molecule: transfer RNA, 68 nt
Filed under: Marmota monax (woodchuck)
Lineage: Eukaryota; Metazoa; Chordata; Mammalia; Rodentia; Sciuridae
Description: tRNA.Ala
Source: RNAcentral